AAUAAAAAAUUUUUUUUCUAUUUUGUAUUUUAGAUAAGUUAUGCAUAAAUCCUUUACUCUUAUUUUCGCUUUGAUGAGAUUCAAUAUGAAAUUGCACAAAUAGAAUCCUUUCAUUCUUCCAAAUGCAAACUGACAUGCUUCUGCAUCUAUCCACUUUCACAAAUUUUUGAAUAAUUUGAAAAUUGAUGGAAUUUAUUCGUUUAUUCUUUGGAAUUCAUCUUUAAAAUAAACGAGUUCGAAUAUAAUGGUAAGAAGUUUAUAUCUCUAAGAAUGCAAAUAUAAAUAUAUCUUUGAGAUCUUUGAAGAGCUUUCUGGCGGAAUGUGAAUGUAAAGAUUUAAUUCUCCAACAAACUGAAAUAAGAAGAGUAAAGAAAACUCGUCUCGCUAAUCAGAUCAUGGUAAGAUGUACUAGUGAACAUACUUCUACGGACGUGAAGUUAUCGACCAUCUUAAGGUGGAAAUCCGAAGAAAAAUUCCAGUCAGUAGCAUGAUAUGAGAAGAAUCAAUCUGACUGCAUGACCCUAAAUUUCCUUUGUUAGUAUUAGUGGAUGGACGCCAAACCAAACUCUCGUUAUUUACCUUCUCUCAUACAGACAGGAUACGAGAUGCUAUCAGCAAUAAAUCGAUCUUUUUUACGAUAAUGCUCAACAACUGCUUUUUUCGUGAAAUGUUGGUAACUUGAGAGUUAUAAUAGAUCCGUAUCAUGGAAGUUAACAAAGCUUUAAGCUUUCUUGCCAAGUUGGCCAUCUGGUUAAUAUACAAAAAUCCAAAACAGAAAACAAAUUGAAAAGCUAAGUCUGCAACAACCGUUUAUUUAAAUUAGAGGCGAAUACUUGAAACAUUACAAAGACUUUAGUUAAAUUAAUGAUAAAGAAUGAGCUGAAAUAAUGAAAAAAUUUCACACAUGAAUAGAAUUUAAAUAUAAUACUGUUAUUAAUUUCAUUUAAUAUUUUUAUGCUAUUUUAAUAUUAUUUUU
Centruroides sculpturatus (bark scorpion) is the source of this 976-nucleotide long non-coding RNA. RefSeq lists it as uncharacterized. The transcript is spliced from 5 exons. The record is from RefSeq and is a predicted model, not a curated record. Lineage: Eukaryota; Metazoa; Arthropoda; Arachnida; Scorpiones; Buthidae.